AUGCGCACCAGAUGUUUCGAAGACAAUGAGGUUGGUAUUCUUCCCCGUGGUCUCCACGACUACACCAUCGCCGCGCUGCUUCCUGGUCCUCUCAGCUUCCACGAGUUCGUGCUCCAUUUGUUCCACUCCGAGACGUCGAGCUGGGCCUCCAUGGUGCUGCCUGUGGCGGAGCCACAGGUGGAGUUCGAUUGCGUCAUCCCCACCAACAUGGAUCUUUAUUACCACUAUACUUCCAACGUCAUCACAAUCGGCGGUGAGCACGGCACCAUGGGCUGGGUCGAUCUCUGGCGAGGCAUCCUGUUGUGUGAUGUGCUGCGUGAGAAGCCAACUCUCCGUGGAAUACCGUUGCCUCUGCCGAUGGAACGUAUCACCGCCGGCGAACAUUUAGGCCGUGCAAUGGAUUGCCGAGGCAUUGCCGUCGUCAAUGGCUCUCUCAAGCUUGUCCAACUGGACAUCACCGGGUGGAUGACUGGGCGAUCUCCUCAUGGACCAAUAGCACGAUGGAGAAUUCUUACGAAGCUUGGGGCGAGCAUGCACGGUCGAAGCUGCUGA
Molecule: ribosomal RNA, 552 nt
Filed under: Triticum aestivum (bread wheat)
Lineage: Eukaryota; Viridiplantae; Streptophyta; Magnoliopsida; Poales; Poaceae
Description: partial small subunit ribosomal RNA
Source: RNAcentral